This 607-nucleotide long non-coding RNA is filed under the name Phoenix dactylifera (date palm). RNAcentral describes it as "long non-coding RNA (PDAC_LNC020343)". The record is from RNAcentral. Lineage: Eukaryota; Viridiplantae; Streptophyta; Magnoliopsida; Arecales; Arecaceae.
CCGAGAUGGUCAUGAAUGGCUGCAGGCGAGAUCAGCGGGAUGCUAGGGGCUUCACGGGUGGCUCGCAGGAGGAUAAGCCGCACAAGGACGCUGUGAAGGAGGCGGUGAUCACACAGGUGGCUGGGGAGUCUGAUGCGGGUCCGGAAGAAAGGGGCGUUGAUCGCUGGUGCUGUGGAGGAGGCUGGAGACGAUCACGGGCACAGGAGCGUUGAUCGGGUGCGACGCUGCGGACGAGACGGAUGGCUGGGAGGAGCGUGAGAUGGGCGCAGGUCACGGAUCCGGAAUGCUGAAAUCUCGGACACGAGGCUGAUCGCGGAAGGCUUGGAACAUGGGAGAAGCUGAUGAAUGCCGUGGCUCACUCGCGGAAACGGGAGAAUGUAAGCAGGAACCUUGGCUCAGAUGUGCGAGAACCCGGGAGAGGUGGACGCUCUGGGAUGAUGGAGGAAGCUAGGAGAUCUAAUUGCAGAAUUUGGGAAGUUGCUCGGGUGCGCGGAAGAAGAGUCAUGGACUCUGUUAUGCAGUUAGGAAGAUGCAUCCUUUUUAGGUGAAUUCAUACAAAAUAAUGAUAUAAAUUAUAAUAAGUGCUAAGGAUAAAAUAUUAAUCAUU